AUUGAACGCUGGCGGCAGGCCUAACACAUGCAAGUCGGGUGGCUGAAGUGAGCUACCUCCUGGAUUCAGCGGCGGACGGGAGAGUAAUGCCUAAGAAUCUUCCUGGUAGUGGGGAAUAACAUCCGUCAACGCGCGCUAAUACCUCAUACGUCCUGAGUGAGAAAGUGGGGGAUAUUCGGACCUCACGCUAUCAGAUGAGCCUAGGUCGCGUUAGCUAGUUGGUGGGGUAAAGGCCUACCAAGGCGACGAUCCUUAACUGGUCUGAGAGGAUGAUCAGUCACACUGGAACUGAGACACGGUCCAGACCACUACGGGAGGCAGCAGUCGGGAACUGUGGACCAUGGGCGCAAGCCUGAUCCAGCCAUGCCGCGUGUGUGAAGAAGGUCUUCGGAUUGUAAAGCACUUUAAGUUGGGAGGAAGGGCAGUAAGUUAAUACCUUGCUGUUUUGACGUUACCAGCAGAAUAAGCACCGGCUAACUUCGUG
Molecule: ribosomal RNA, 484 nt
Filed under: uncultured bacterium
Lineage: Bacteria
Description: partial 16S ribosomal RNA
Rfam family: Bacterial small subunit ribosomal RNA
Source: RNAcentral